UCCCCUACGGGGGGCAGCAGUGGGGAAUAUUGCACAAUGGGGGAAACCCUGAUGCAGCGACGCCGCGUGAGUGAAGAAGUAAUUCGUUAUGUAAAGCUCUAUCAGCAGGGAAGAAAAUGACGGUACCUGAGUAAGAAGCCCCGGCCAACUACGUGCCAGCAGCCGCGGUAAUACGUAGGGGGCAAGCGUUAUCCGGAUUUACUGGGUGUAAAGGGGGCGCAGACGGCGAUGCAAGCCAGGAGUGAAAGCCCGGGGCC
RNAcentral lists this ribosomal RNA (257 nucleotides) under uncultured bacterium. Its description in RNAcentral is "partial 16S ribosomal RNA". It matches the Rfam family "Bacterial small subunit ribosomal RNA", at positions 335 to 609 of the family's 1533-position model. The record is from RNAcentral.